RNAcentral lists this ribosomal RNA (465 nucleotides) under uncultured bacterium. RNAcentral's name for it is "partial 16S ribosomal RNA". It matches the Rfam family "Bacterial small subunit ribosomal RNA", at positions 28 to 507 of the family's 1533-position model. The record is from RNAcentral.
GACGAACGCUGGCGGCGUGCUUAACACAUGCAAGUCGAACGGAAAGGCCCUGCUUGCAGGGUACUCGAGUGGCGAACGGGUGAGUAACACGUGGGUGAUCUGCCCUGCACUUCGGGAUAAGCCUGGGAAACUGGGUCUAAUACCGGAUAGGAGCCAUUUUUAGUGUGAUGGUUGGAAAGUUUUUUCGGUGUAGGAUGAGCUUGCGGCCUAUCAGCUUGUUGGUGGGGUAAUGGCCUACCAAGGCGGCGACGGGUAGCCGGCCUGAGAGGGUGGACGGCCACAUUGGGACUGAGAUACGGCCCAGACUCCUACGGGAGGUAGCAGUGGGGAAUAUUGCACAAUGGGCGCAAGCCUGAUGCAGCGACGCCGCGUGGGGGAUGACGGCCUUCGGGUUGUAAACUCCUUUCGCUAGGGACGAAGCUUUUUGUGACGGUACCUAGAUAAGAAGCACCGGCUAACUACGUG